UACGAAGGGGGCUAGCGUUGCUCGGAAUGACUGGGCGUAAAGGGCGCGUAGGCGGAUGGUACAGUCAGAUGUGAAAUUCCCGGGCUUAACCUGGGGGCUGCAUUUGAUACGUGCGAUCUGGAGUGAGGAAGAGGGUCGUGGAAUUCCCAGUGUAGAGGUGAAAUUCGUAGAUAUUGGGAAGAACACCGGUGGCGAAGGCGGCUUCCUGGCCUGCAACUGACGCUGAGACGCGAAAGCGUGGGGAGCGAACCGG
RNAcentral lists this ribosomal RNA (253 nucleotides) under uncultured bacterium. RNAcentral describes it as "partial 16S ribosomal RNA". It matches the Rfam family "Bacterial small subunit ribosomal RNA", at positions 524 to 776 of the family's 1533-position model. The record is from RNAcentral.